This 419-nucleotide ribosomal RNA is filed under the name uncultured bacterium. Its description in RNAcentral is "bacterial SSU rRNA". It matches the Rfam family "Bacterial small subunit ribosomal RNA", at positions 1 to 412 of the family's 1533-position model. The record is from RNAcentral.
GUACGCGAGUUUGAUCCUGGCUCAGGACGAACGCUGGCNGGGCGCCUUAUGCAUGCNAAGUCGAGCGAAGCUUUUCAGUAGUUUACUACAGAAAAUGACUGAGCGGCGAACGGGUGAGUAACGCGUGAGCAAUCUACCUUAGUUACAGGGAUAGCCCGAGGAAACUCGGAUUAAUACCUGAUAUUCUUUACAUUUCGCAUGAAAUUAAAAGGAAAGGUCAGCCGAACUAAGAUGAGCUCGCGUUCUAUCAGCUAGUUGGUGAGGUAAAAGCUCACCAAGGCAACGACGGAUAGCUGGUCUGAGAGGACGAUCAGCCACACUGGGACUGAGACACGGCCCAGACUCCUACGGGAGGCUGCAGCAGGGAAUAUUGUGCAAUGAACGAAAGUUUGACACAGCGACACCGCGUGUGGGAUGAC